UAGAUGCCUGCAGUGCAGGAUAGAUCGGU
Molecule: small RNA, 29 nt
Filed under: Bombyx mori (domestic silkworm)
Lineage: Eukaryota; Metazoa; Arthropoda; Insecta; Lepidoptera; Bombycidae
Description: ovarian small RNA-22137
Source: RNAcentral